CCUACGGGAGGCAGCAGUGGGGGAUAUUGCACAAUGGGGGAAACUCUGAUGCAGCAACGCCGCGUGAGUGAAGAAGGAUUUCGGUAUGUAAAGCUCUAUCAGCAGGGAAGAAAAUGACGGUACCUGACUAAGAAGCCCCGGCUAACUACGUGCCAGCAGCCGCGGUAAUACGUAGGGGGCAAGCGUUAUCCGGAUUUACUGGGUGUAAAGGGAGCGUAGGCGGGGCAGCAAGUCUGAUGUGAAAUGUCGGGGCCCAACCCGGGGGCUGCAUUUGAAACUGUUGAACUGGAGUACAGGAGAGGUAAGCGGAAUUCCUAGUGUAGCGGUGAAAUGCGUAGAUAUUAGGAGGAACACCAGUGGCGAAGGCGGCUUACUGGACUGUAACUGACGCUGAGGCUCGAAAGCGUGGGGAGCAAACAGGAUUAGAUACCCUAGUAGUC
This 440-nucleotide ribosomal RNA is filed under the name uncultured bacterium. Its description in RNAcentral is "partial 16S ribosomal RNA". It matches the Rfam family "Bacterial small subunit ribosomal RNA", at positions 338 to 795 of the family's 1533-position model. The record is from RNAcentral.